AACGAACGCUGGCGGCAUGCCUAACACAUGCAAGUCGAACGAGACCUUCGGGUCUAGUGGCGCACGGGUGCGUAACGCGUGGGAACCUGCCCUUAGGUUCGGAAUAACUCCCCGAAAGGGGUGCUAAUACCGGAUAAUGUCUUCGGACCAAAGAUUUAUCGCCUUUGGAUGGGCCCGCGUUGGAUUAGCUAGUUGGUAGGGUAAAAGCCUACCAAGGCGACGAUCCAUAGCUGGUCUGAGAGGAUGACCAGCCACACUGGGACUGAGACACGGCCCAGACCGGUACGCAAGGUAGCAGUAGGGUAUAUUGGAGGAUGGGCGAUGGCCUGAUCCAGCCAUGCGGCGUGAGUGAUGAAGGCCUUAGGGUUGUAAAGCUCUCUUACCCGAGAUGAUAAUGACAGUACCGGGAGAAUAAGCUCCGGCUAACUCCGUG
RNAcentral lists this ribosomal RNA (433 nucleotides) under uncultured bacterium. RNAcentral describes it as "partial 16S ribosomal RNA". It matches the Rfam family "Bacterial small subunit ribosomal RNA", at positions 29 to 507 of the family's 1533-position model. The record is from RNAcentral.